RNAcentral lists this ribosomal RNA (329 nucleotides) under uncultured eukaryote. Its description in RNAcentral is "partial 18S ribosomal RNA". It matches the Rfam family "Eukaryotic small subunit ribosomal RNA", at positions 1470 to 1796 of the family's 1831-position model. The record is from RNAcentral.
CCCUUAGAUGUUCUGGGCUGCACGCGCGCUACACUGACACGUUCAUCAAGUCUAUAACCUUGACCGAGAGGUCUGGGUAAUCUUUUAAAAACGUGUCGUGCUGGGGAUAGAUUAUUGCAAUUAUUAAUCUUCAACGAGGAAUUCCUAGUAAACGCAAGUCAUCAACUUGCAUUGAUUACGUCCCUGCCCUUUGUACACACCGCCCGUCGCUACUACCGAUUGAAUGAUUUAGUGAGUACCAGGGACCGAGCGCUUUGGUUGGGUUUCCUUCCCUAGCGCUUGGGAACUGUCGCAAACUUGACCAUUUAGAGGAAGUAAAAGUCGUAACA